UAAUCGCAGCAGCUCUCCGUCUCUAGCUUCUUCCGUAGCUUAGGGUUUGCAUCUCCAUCCUAUAAUCCUCUAAACUUUAUCAGAUUAUACCCAGAUUAGGUCUUUCUUCCGUUCUGGUCUUCAGUUCUCUGCGUUGGCAGUAUGUAGGUUAAUCACAGUGUGAGUCCAUCAAUGGUGGUAGUCCGAUGGUUGGUGGUGGGGCUUUGAGGAACUGUGCUUACAGCCGCAGUGGUUCUCUGGUGUACAGGUAGUUUAGGACAGUAUGUCAGUUUUUGUGUAUAAAUAUAAUCUGCAAACCCAACUCUAAUCCAUUAUUGAGCAGCUUCUCCCUAAAAUACUACAUCCGUCGAUAAUCUCUCUUCGUUUUCUUCAUUCUCAAAAUCUCCGCCAUCGGCAUCUCCGGAUUGCUCUCCGGCAUGAUCUCCCCUAUUGGCUCCUGCGGCUCAAAUGGGUCGUCUGGCAAUCAAUUCAUUCUUCCUACCAGGAAGUUGAUGAGAGAAGUACUCACACAUGCUGACAUGCAUAACAGAACAACAAUUUAGAGUCAGUUGUAAGCUGCCAUUUUUCAUCAGCUCACCUCCCUCCUGUAAAAGGUUCAUCUUUGGAGUUGUUCUCAAUUGUAGGCCUCAACACACACCUUAAUCUUUAACCAAAUGUCUUCUUCCUCUGAUUGGAUGCUUUCCCAAGUCUUCUUCCCUGCAGCCUCGUGGUUGCAAUGGAUGCUGUUCAUUUUCGCUGUUUCCUCCACAUAUAUAUAGGAUAGGAAAGUUCAUUUUAAAAUUAAUAUUAGUUUUGAAAAUUGCAACAGUCUAUCCCCAAUUAAAUUCAUUUUUGUAUUCACACAUGUAUUGAUGGCUUGUAAUAAUAGUUUAAGUAUAUGAAGAGCUUUCAAGCAACCUUUCAAGUUCCAAGACAUUUAAAUAUCAGUUUUAAAACAAAA
This is a long non-coding RNA of Ipomoea nil (Japanese morning glory), 940 nucleotides long. RefSeq lists it as uncharacterized. The record is from RefSeq and is a predicted model, not a curated record. The transcript has 3 exons. Lineage: Eukaryota; Viridiplantae; Streptophyta; Magnoliopsida; Solanales; Convolvulaceae.